This 433-nucleotide ribosomal RNA is filed under the name uncultured bacterium. RNAcentral's name for it is "partial 16S ribosomal RNA". It matches the Rfam family "Bacterial small subunit ribosomal RNA", at positions 29 to 507 of the family's 1533-position model. The record is from RNAcentral.
AACGAACGCUGGCGGCAUGCCUAACACAUGCAAGUCGAACGAGACCUUCGGGUCUAGUGGCGCACGGGUGCGUAACGCGUGGGAACCUGCCCUUAGGUUCGGAAUAACUCCCCGAAAGGGGUGCUAAUACCGGAUAAUGUCUUCGGACCAAAGAUUUAUCGCCUUUGGAUGGGCCCGCGUUGGAUUAGCUAGUUGGUAGGGUAAAAGCCUACCAAGGCGACGAUCCAUAGCUGGUCUGAGAGGAUGAUCAGCCACACUGGGACUGAGACCCGGCCCAGACUCCUACGGGAGGCAGCAGUGGGGAAUAUUGGACAAUGGGCGAAAGCCUGAUCCAGCAAUGCCGCGUGAGUGAUGAAGGCCUUAGGGUUGUAAAGCUCUUUUACCCGGGAUGAUAAUGACAGUACCGGGAGAAUAAGCGCCGGCUAACUCCGUG